This 85-nucleotide transfer RNA is filed under the name Candidatus Hydrogenedentota bacterium. RNAcentral describes it as "Candidatus Hydrogenedentes bacterium (sediment metagenome) tRNA-Leu". It matches the Rfam family "tRNA". From Rfam's summary of the family: Transfer RNA (tRNA) molecules are approximately 80 nucleotides in length. Their secondary structure includes four short double-helical elements and three loops (D, anti-codon, and T loops). Further hydrogen bonds mediate the characteristic L-shaped molecular structure. tRNAs have two regions of fundamental functional importance: the anti-codon, which is responsible for specific mRNA codon recognition, and the 3' end, to which the tRNAs corresponding amino acid is attached (by aminoacyl-tRNA synthetases). tRNAs cope with the degeneracy of the genetic code in two manners: having more than one tRNA (with a specific anti-codon) for a particular amino acid; and 'wobble' base-pairing, i.e. permitting non-standard base-pairing at the 3rd anti-codon position. The record is from RNAcentral. Lineage: Bacteria; Pseudomonadati; Candidatus Hydrogenedentota.
GGGCGAGUGGCGGAAUUGGCAGACGCACCGGACUUAGGAUCCGGCGCCGCAAGGCAUGCGGGUUCGACUCCCGCCUCGCCCACCA